RNAcentral lists this ribosomal RNA (255 nucleotides) under uncultured bacterium. RNAcentral describes it as "partial 16S ribosomal RNA". It matches the Rfam family "Bacterial small subunit ribosomal RNA", at positions 524 to 777 of the family's 1533-position model. The record is from RNAcentral.
UACGUGGGGUGCAAGCGUUGUCCGGAAUUAUUGGGCGUAAAGAGCUCGUAGGCGGUUUGUUGCGUCGGCUGUGAAAUCCCGAGGCUCAACCUCGGGUCUGCAGUCGAUACGAGCAAACUAGAGUGUUGCAGGGGAGACUGGAAUUCCUGGUGUAGCGGUGAAAUGCGCAGAUAUCAGGAGGAACACCGGUGGCGAAGGCGGGUCUCUGGGCAACAACUGACGCUGGAGGAGCGAAAGCGUGGGGAGCGAACAGGA